This 678-nucleotide ribosomal RNA is filed under the name uncultured bacterium. Its description in RNAcentral is "bacterial SSU rRNA". It matches the Rfam family "Bacterial small subunit ribosomal RNA", at positions 100 to 794 of the family's 1533-position model. The record is from RNAcentral.
GACUGGUGAGUAACGCGUGAGGAACCUGCCUUUCAGAGGGGGACAACAGUUGGAAACGACUGCUAAUACCGCAUAACACAUAGGUGUCGCAUGGCAUUUAUGUCAAAGAUUUAUCGCUGAAAGAUGGCCUCGCGUCUGAUUAGCUAGUUGGUGAGGUAACGGCUCACCAAGGCGACGAUCAGUAGCCGGACUGAGAGGUUGGCCGGCCACAUUGGGACUGAGAUACGGCCCAGACUCCUACGGGAGGCAGCAGUGGGGAAUAUUGGGCAAUGGGCGCAAGCCUGACCCAGCAACGCCGCGUGAAGGAAGAAGGCUUUCGGGUUGUAAACUUCUUUUGACAGGGAAGAGUAGAAGACGGUACCUGUCGAAUAAGCCACGGCUAACUACGUGCCAGCAGCCGCGGUAAUACGUAGGUGGCAAGCGUUGUCCGGAUUUACUGGGUGUAAAGGGCGUGUAGCCGGGUUGACAAGUCAGAUGUGAAAUCCUGCGGCUUAACCGCAGAACUGCAUUUGAAACUGUUGAUCUUGAGUACUGGAGAGGCAGACGGAAUUCCUAGUGUAGCGGUGAAAUGCGUAGAUAUUAGGAGGAACACCAGUGGCGAAGGCGGUCUGCUGGACAGCAACUGACGGUGAGGCGCGAAAGCGUGGGGGAGCAAACAGGAUUAGAUACCCUGGUAGU